Molecule: ribosomal RNA, 305 nt
Filed under: uncultured bacterium
Lineage: Bacteria
Description: bacterial SSU rRNA
Rfam family: Bacterial small subunit ribosomal RNA
Source: RNAcentral
AACGAACGCUGGCGGCGUGCCUAACACAUGCAAGUCGAGCGAGAAAGCUCCUUCGGGAGUGAGUAAAGCGGCGCACGGGUGAGUAACACGUAGGUAACCUACCCUCGAGCCUGGGAUAACCUACCGAAAGGUGGGCUAAUACCGGAUAUGACCACGGGGAGCCACGGCUCCUGCGGUAGAAAGAUGGCCUAAGCUUGCAAGCUAUCACUUGAGGAGUGGGCCUGCGCCACCAUAGCUAGUUGGGCGGGGUAAUGGCCCACCAAGGCUAUGAUGGUUAGCUGGUCUGAGAGGAUGGCCAGCCACAC